GUACUGACAUUGUUAUUUUUAUAUUGUUAUUGUCAAAAAGAUUUAAAGGCAGGCGAAACAUUUUUUCAAGAAAAAACAAAGUGCAAAUGACAAACUUGACAUCUAAACUAUGUUGGCUUCCCAUUAUUAUAAUCUAUAAUUUGCAGCACUCUAAAAUUAUUAUAAAUAAAUAAAUGAAAAAUGAAAAUUACAAAUAUUGAGGGGACUAGACCAAAACCUAAUAAAAGUUAACCAAGUGAUUUUAGAAUGUCCCUUGUUAACCUAUUGGGAUAAAACCCGAGUACGGGAAAAAGGUACAUAACAACUAAACAACAUAAAGGCAACAUAAACAUAAAUCAAAGUGCAUAGGAUAUGACAUGAAAAUAAAUUAUAUGUAACAUAUAAUUAUUUUACAUAUUAAUGGUUAAUAAUCCAACCACAAACAAAAUAAGUUAACGCACAACAAGUAUUGUUCAGGAAUGUUACACCCAAUUUUGUGGUUAUUUACUCGACAAUGAAUGUGACUGUUGCAUGAAACAAACACUGCAAUGUAAAAUAACAUUAAAGUAUUUUUAUUAAAAGAGUAUGAAAUAUUGUGUCUAAUAUAAAUAAGAAAAUGAGAAAAUAAUGUCGAAAAUUACUUACCGCCAUUGGUUACAUGGAGAUAUGUAUAAAGGAAGAUUAUCAGAGCAAAAAAAACUUUGAAAUGUGAGUCAUUGUUUUGAAAAAUUUUAAAGAGAUCGUUUUUGUAAAAUGAUAUGAACUUGGCGUGAUUUUGUGAUUUCAUGGAAUUGGCCUAGGAUACUUGUAUGCCUAAGAUACAAUGGAUUAACCAUUUUAUAAGUAAAAGUUUAUUGCUUGAAUUGACAUCAAUUAAAUAAAUUAAAGCUAUUGUUAAAUGGCUCUAAGGUAUAUCAGUGUGCCAAGUUUAUCCUUUAGCGCACUCAAUUAACCAGUUAAGCAUAAUAAAGAUCUCAAAUAAAAAAAAAUUAAGCCCAUAAAAAAUUUAGUAGAUUUUUUUAUUUUUUAGCCUAUCAUGAUAGAGAGGGGACAAAAUACCCAAAGAUAAAUAAUGGCAAGGUAAUUAAAAUCGGAUCGAACCAUCUGGUUUAACUAGUUGAACCGGGAACCGGACCUAUGUCUGGUCUGAAAUAAAAAGAAAACGGGUGUUGCAACGAACCGGGAAACCAGAUAAUAAAGAUUUGUUGUGCAUAAAAAUUAAAUAACAGUAAAUAAAUAUUGUUUGGAAAAGUUAUGGAGAGAGAUGAGACUAGGUCUUCCGAAUCAUUUGAUUUUCCUUAAUUGGUACACUACACCUACUUCUCAUGAAUAUUUUUUUAGUUUUAUGAUGAUUAACUAAAAUAGCCCUAAUCAAUCCCUUGACUUAGGACCCUCUUCUCAGAUUACAACCCCUAAAUCCUUAGGUGAUCUAAUAUUCUUUGAAGGUUUGAAGAAUGUUAACCUAAUAUCACAAAUACUUGAUUGAGGUGUAUUGUUUUGAAAAAUGUCAAAAAGAUUGUUUUUGUAAAAUGAUACGAACUUGGCGUGAUUUUGUGAUUUCUUGGAAUUGGCCUUGAAUACUUGUCUGCCUAAGCUACUAUGGAUUAACCAUUUUAUAAGUAAAAGUUUAUUGCUUUACCAACAUCAAUUAAAUAUAUUUUAACACUAAAGAGGUGAAAAAUUGUUUACUAUAUUAAAGUUAUUGUUAAAUGGCUCUAAGGUAUAUCAGUGUGCCAAGUUUAUCCUUUGGCGCACUCAAUUAACCAUUUAAGCAUAAUAAGGAUCUCAAAUAAAAAAUUUAAACCCGGCAAAAAUUUAGUAGAUUUUUUAUUUUUUAGCCUAUCAUGAUAGAGAGGGGACAAAAUACCCAAAUAUAAAUAAUGGCAAGGUAAUUAAAAUCGGAUCGAACCAUCUGGUUUGACUCGUUGAACUAGGAACCAGAACUAUGUCUGGUCUGAAAUACAAAGAAAACUGGUGUCGCAACGAACCGGGAAACCAGAUAAAAACUGGAUGAACCGGGAAAACCAGCGGGCUACACGGUUUGGCAGGUUGAACCGCAUUUUACAAUUUUUUUGAAAAAAAAUCUCAAACCAGAUUUGUUAUGCCAUAAGUCUGAACUAAGAAAAGUUAUGGUGGUUUUAUAGCAAGAAGACAUAAAUCUAAGUAGAAUAAAAAUAUAGAGGAGACCAUGAAAUGGAGAUCUUGGAGAAAAAACGAAAAGGAUAAUCAUAGUUGGUGGGUUGCGUUGCUGCUAUUUAGAAAUUAGGGUUAGUGUGACAUUUAUACUUAUAAUAACUGAUAGACUUUUAGAAGGUGUACUAAAACUAUUGAACUAAUACAAUUAAUGUUGUUUCCAUGAGAACAAUAUUAAUCUCAAGUAAACGAUAGCAUUAUGAAAUAGGAUGUGUAAAGUUAUUUAGUGCCUGAGACAGUAGAUUUGUUGUGCAUAAAAAUUAAAUAACAGAAAAUAAAGAUUGUUUGGAAAAGUUAUGGAGAGAGAUGAGACUAGGUCUUUCGAAUACUUUGAUUUCCCCUAAUUGAUACACUACACCUAUUUCUCAUGAAUAUUUCUCUAGUUUUACGAUGAUUAACUAAAAUAGCUCUAAUCAAUCCCUUGACUUAGGACCCUCUUCUCAGAUUACGAUCCCUAAUUCCUUAGGUGAUCUAAUAUACUUUAAAGGUUUGAAUAACGUUAACCUAAUAUCACAAAUACUUGAUUGAGGUGUAUUGUUUUGAAAAAUGUCAAAAAGAUCGUUUUUGUAAAAUGAUACGAACUUGGCGUGAUUUUGUGAUUUCUUGGAAUUGGCCUAGGAUACUUGUAUGCCUAAGCUACUAUGGAUUAACCAUUUUAUAAGUAAAAGUUUAUUUCUCUAUUGACAUCAAUUAAAUAUAUUUUAACACUAAAGAGGUGAAAAGUUGUUUAUUAAAUUAAAGUUAUUGUUAAAUGGCUCUAAGGUAUAAUAAUGUGUCAAGUUUAUCCUUUAGCGCACUCAAUUAACAAGUUAAGCAUAAUAAAGAUCUCAAAUAAAAAAAUUUAAGCCCGUCAAAAAUUUAGUAGAUUUUUUUUAUUUUUUAGCCUAUCAUGAUUGAGAGGGGACAAGAUACCCAAAUAUAAAUAAUGGCAAGGUAAUUAAAAUCGGAUCGGACCAUCUGGUUUGACUAGUUGAACCGGGAACUGGAACUAUGUCUGGUCUGAAAUACAAAGAAAAUUGGUGUCGCAACGAACCAGGAAACCAGAUGAACCGGGAAAACCGGCGGGCUACACAGUUUUGCAGGUUGAACUGCAUUUUUAAAAUUUUUUGAAAAAAUAACUCAAACCAGAUUUGUUAUGUCAUAAGUCUGAACUAAGAAAAGAUAUGGUGGUUUUAUAGCAAAAGGACAUAAAUCUAAGUAGAAUACAAAUACAGAUGAGACCCUGAAAUGGAGAUCUUGGAGAAAAAAUGAAAAGGAUAAUUGUAACGCCCUAUUUUAAUAUUUAUUUAUUUUAUUGAGUUUAGGUGUCUUUCCAUAAUUUAGUCGAUUUAUUCUGAUGGGUGAUAUUUUGUUAUGUUAUAUGUUGGUAUUUAUUAGUAUAAUAUAUAUGUUAUUUGGUGUAGAAAUAUAUAUAUAUUAUCUGGUGUAGAAAUAUAUAUGUUAUUUGGUGUAGAAAUAUAUAUAUUAUCUUGUGUAGAAAUAUAUAUGUUAUGUGGUGUAGAAAUAUUAUGUUAUUUGGUGUAGAAAUAUAUGUUAUCUGGUGUAGAAAUAUAUUUCUUAUUUGGUGUAGAAAUAUAUAUAUAUAUAUAUAUAUAUAUAUAUAUAUAUAUAUAUAUAUAUAUAUAUGAGGGCAAAUUUAGAAAUAAGAGAACAUAAGUAGGUUAAUGAUUUUUAUAAAAGGGCAGAUUUGGAAAUAAGAGAAAAUAAGUAGGUUAAUGAAAGUUAGAAUUAGAAAAUAAGGAU
Molecule: long non-coding RNA, 3915 nt
Filed under: Medicago truncatula (barrel medic)
Lineage: Eukaryota; Viridiplantae; Streptophyta; Magnoliopsida; Fabales; Fabaceae
Description: long non-coding RNA (MTRU_LNC001488)
Source: RNAcentral